This 502-nucleotide long non-coding RNA is filed under the name Mastacembelus armatus (zig-zag eel). RNAcentral's name for it is "lncRNA (ENSMAMG00000025647.1)". Lineage: Eukaryota; Metazoa; Chordata; Actinopteri; Synbranchiformes; Mastacembelidae. The record is from RNAcentral.
CCUGGACCUGUGCAGACUUAUCUCUCCAUCAGCAGGGCUGAGGAAAUCAAUUGAAAAGCAAGGAGACCAUUAAGGAUUAAUAGAGACGCUAACGGAAUAGUGAUCAAGAUGUUGAUCACCAUGCUAACAGCCAUGUAUGUGAUGGUCAAAGUCGCAGAAUCGAUAGGUGUACGGUUGACACGGCAACAGGACCCUUUGCCUUACAUGGUGUCCCAGCCUUUGCCUUGGCAGGUUCACUCAGUGUCACACAGCCGGAGGAGCAGCAAAGCAGAUGAGUUUGAUGGCUUCAGGAGGAACAGUAUAGGCGUAUAUAGAAAAAGUAAGUAAUACUAUAAAAUAAUUAGUUUUAAUGCUGGCUAUUUUUCUGCUAUGAUGGCUGUCAUUGCAAAGUUAACCACUACAGUUUGACCUGAAUUGCUGUCAACUAUAACUAACAAAUGAAACUGUAAACAGAAAAAUAGCCCGCUUGAAUCAAUGCUAAUAUGUACACAAUGUGUUUGAA